AUUUCAAAUUUACUGUAAAUCUAAAUACAGUAAAAAAAUUAAUAAAUGAGCGCGAAACCUGACCAAUCACAGAAAAGCUUUUAUUUCCGCUUGGAGAAAGAAGAAAACAAGACACACUGAUGCGAAAAGAACCAGUCAGUUUCAAAGGUUCAUUGUGAGGAUUAACCCUGACAACAGCAAGUGCUCCUCAAAGUUCCAGGUCAGAAAACGAAGUUGGAAUAUGGUACAAAGGAAGAACUCUGGCCCGAACCCUCAUGUAUCCUCCUUCAUUAAGGAGUUUCUGGAUUUCAGCUGGCAAAACUAUUAAGCUACUAAGAGCAAAUACAUUCUACACAGGAGUUUUCUGAAUUUGUAAAUUUUUAAGAUUGUUCUUGUGACUGAAUCUGUUCAUGUCUGUUGUUUUAAAAUGCUCUUAAUAUGAAACUUUGAUGUAUUAAUGAAAUGUUUUCAGGUUUUUGGAAAACUGAAAGUACAAUCUGCAGGAAUAUUAAAAUGUUAUAUCAAGUAUUACAAUUUAACAAUUAAACCAAUAAAAGAAGUUAAA
Carassius carassius (crucian carp) is the source of this 544-nucleotide long non-coding RNA. RefSeq lists it as uncharacterized. The record is from RefSeq and is a predicted model, not a curated record. The transcript has 2 exons. Lineage: Eukaryota; Metazoa; Chordata; Actinopteri; Cypriniformes; Cyprinidae.